Homo sapiens (human) is the source of this 3468-nucleotide long non-coding RNA. The record is from Ensembl. Lineage: Eukaryota; Metazoa; Chordata; Mammalia; Primates; Hominidae.
AGCGCGUUGGGGCUGCGUCUCUGCGCACUGGCUGGCUCUGGGCUGGGAAGUUUCAAGUUCCAGGCGGUCUGCAUUCCCUUCUCCCCCUUCACACACUUAACCCUACCUUGUCUGGUCAAGAGAGAUCCAGACAAAAUCAACCUUCUGCGUCAACAGCCGCGUCCGGCUGCCUCAGAGGCACAGAGUCUGUUCCUGGCUUCACCUGGCUUUCGCCAUAAACUGGAACGAGCGGCCAAGACCCUGGAUGCUGCUGCGGCUUUGCAAGGUGAGGACUCGGCGCCCAGCACCUUCCUGUGCAAGAAGUCAGGGAGUUCAAGACGAGAUCAAGGCUGAUCCAGGCCUUGCGCGGCUCCUGCUCACAGGAUCCUGGGGACCGUUUCAAGAAGAGCCUCAGGACACGGAGAAUGCUCAGUCUCUCUCCUGGCUGUCCCCGCCAGGCAAGAGGGCCCGGGGGUGGAGGGAAUCCAGGGGACACGGUCCUCACCCCACUGUCAGCGCCGGCAGACCCCAACACUCAUCCCCCAGCCCCAGGCACACAACCCGCCCUGCCGCCCCUCGCCAGGCCCUGCCGGGUGUCCACCCUCUGAGGUGGCAGGUGGGGGAGGAGACAUGCUGGGGAGGGGCCCAGGCCUGGGCGGCGCGGCCCUUCCUUUCACUCCCCUGCCAGGCAGUGCCUGCGCCCACCCUCACCCCCACCACCCCCCCCGACCCCCCGCGGGCUGGGAGGAAAUGUAAUGAGUGCAGGGCGGUGUCUUUGGUGCUGCUGGGGUGGAGUCAAGGGCCAGAUCCCAUUGUGAAUUUGACAGAAAAGGAAACGGGCUCCGAGCGCAGGUGAGGCUCAGCCAGGGCUCCGCGGCUCUCACCCAAGAGCUGAGCUCCAACCUUCCUGGCCCGGCUCCGUUUCCCGAGCUGUGGAAAAUGCCUGUCCACCCGGCAUGGCUGGGUAGUGCCUGCCUCCCCCACGCCAGCCACGGGCCGGCUCCCCAGUCCUCUGUGGGAGGGUUGCUGGUCUCUGUUAAAAGCCCCCCGGGUGACGUGCAUGCCGCCAGGGCCUGUGCCCCCGGGAGACACUCUGGGGAGGGGCCACCACAAGGAAACCUCAGUCCAAGCUGUCCAGCGGAGGCUGGGCAUGGCUGUGCCAGCACAGGAAGGCAGGUAGGGGUCUCCGGGGCAGGCAGCUCUCCCUCUGGCCCAGCCCCCUGUGUGAAGUGCUCAGCCUGGGUAGGAACGUGCUUCCCACUCAGCCUCCUCCAAGCCGCUGGAGGUCCCGCUGGUUCCCCAAAUGGCUUCUGUCCUGAGCCGUGGGCUCCUGACCACGCACCUACCUUGCACGGUCUGAACAAGAGUCUGUGCCAGGGACCCCGCUCAGGAGGGGCACAGAGGAAGCCAAGGGCCCACACAGGUGAGGGGGUCUCAGGUCUGGGCCUCACCCAGCCCAGGCUCAGCAGCAGCCUCAGAAUUUCCUGGCAUCUGCUUGCCUGUGUUGCAACCCAAGUGGGGUGUGCAUGCCGCCUGAGAGAGAAGACACUCGGGGAGGAUUAUGUAAGCGCUUUCCUCCCCAGCACAGGGCCGUCUUGGGCACAUUGCGACCAGACCAUGUGCAAAAGCACUCGGGAGAGUGGCAGGAGCUGACCCACCAGAGAGGGAUUAACCCCUUCCGGGAUGCUGGCGGCUUGUCCUGGGGAACGUGGGGCUGGUCAGGAUUGCAGGACACGGAGGGGCGGAGUGUGAAUGUGGAGGCACCGGUGCUGCGUGAUUUUCCACAAGUUGUCUAACCUCUCUGUGCCUUCGUUGCCUGACUCGGCUGUUUCCAAUGCAGCUGAUUUUAACAGCACCUGUUUCAUGAGGCCACAGCCAGGAUUCUGGGAGGCAAAGCACAGAAAGCCCUCAAUGCGGUUUGAGGCUCCAGGCAAGGCUCAGCUGACAGUAGCUGAAAACAGCAAUUUCAGCCGCAGAGUUGCCCGUCCUGUGCACCACAGAACGAACAAGGGUUUCCAGCUUUGCUCAGAUUUGUGGGGACCACUGGGUUUGGACUUUAGGAAAAGCUCAUUUGCCUUUGGGCAGAAGUGACCGGAGCUGGGGUCACCUGAGGUCUGGGCAGGAACCUCUCGCUGGCUGACGCAGGACCUGGGGAGGGGCCAUCUGUGUGGGGCAGCUCUGGACUCAGACCCGUGGAUACCUGUGAAACCUGUCAGGCUGAGCCACCGUCCAGCAAGUGAAGAGACCCCAACUGGGCCACUGUGGAGUCACUUGGCCACCACCCCCGGGUUCUCACAGCCCUCAUGUGUGUCCCAACCGCGAGCAGGCGGCCGACAGUGCACCCUGACAAGGCACGCGUGUACCAUCGGGGACACCUGCUACUUUAAAGUGACCGGAUGGUGCCCAGGACCACAAGAACCAGCCUCGUGGCAGGGUGCCCAGCCUCCUUCCCCCUCCACUGUUAACUUUUUUGCCAAGAUUCCAAAAACGAAGCUGCAGCUGAAAAUAAUUUCUUUUUCUUCUAUAGCCCAAAUGACCGAUGGUGUAGAGAUUUUCCCAUCAUAGAACUGCAGUCUCCAUUUCUAGUAGGCCCAGGAGGUGACAUGUCUGAGGUUGGGGUGCCUUGGGGCCAGUGCCCAGAGGAGAACCCACAUUGGCGUCCUAGUAAUGUGAACCCUCAUAAGAGCUUCAGGACAGCAGAGGCAGUGGAGAUGCCGGCAGGCAGGGAGAGCCGGCCCGGCCAGCCCCUCGGGAAUGAGCUUCAGUCCUAUUCUAGCUCAAAAUGAUAAACCUCAUCUCAGGCGGCUGCUUGUGACUCCAAGAGACCACCAGGCCCCGGUGAUAGCCAGCACAGUACCUGGCACAUAAAUCCCACCCACCAGCCUGGUGUGGCUGGGAGACCCGCCCGGGUGCUCUCUGUCUCUCCCUCCCUCUUUCACUGCUCCCUGAAGGCAGCAUCUGAAGAGGCUGAGGCUGUCCUGUCGCUGCCCCGACCUCUGCGGAGAAGCCCGCGGCUGUCCUGUCGCUGCCCCGACCUCUGGGGAGAGGCCCGCAGUUCUGAUCACGGACCUCAGACGGGGAAGCGCACAGGAGGCCUCGGGUGGCCGGGCUGUGCUGCUUCUCCCUGGACGGGCAGAGCUGGCACAUAGGAGGUGCUUCGCAGGUGACUAAGGAGGCAAAGACCCGAAGCCUGGGGGACUGCAGUGUCCGGUGGAUCCCAGCUGUGGCCAUCAGGCCCAUGGGUGGGAGAGCCAAGGGAGGGGCUCAGCUGGGCAAUAGGAUGCGAGUGGGCGGGGGACACUGCUGGGAACUCCCUUCACUGCAUGGCCAAGAAUGUGUGUAAGCAAACAGGGCGGGAGAGCUGUGUGUCGCCUCGGGCAGUCACUCAGCCUCUCCGCCCGUUUUCCUGGUCUGUAAAAUGGGCCGAAACGCCCGCCCUGCUCUGCUCUUUGGGCAGUUUCUAUAAAUGCUUGGCCCAGCCUCCCCGGC